GACGAACGCUGGCGGCGUGCCUAAUACAUGCAAGUAGAACGCAGUUGCGAACGGGUGAGUAACGCGUAGGUCACUGCCUGGUAGCGGGGGCUAACACUUGGAAACGAUAGCUAAUACCGCAUCCUACCAGAUGGACCUGCGUUGUAUUAGCUAGUUGGUGGGGUAACGGCUCACCAAGGCAACGAUACAUAGCCGACCUGGGGAGGUUGUCGGGCAAACUGGGACUGGGACACGGCCCAGAAUCCCACGGGGGGCAACAGGAGGGAAUCUUCGGCAAAGGGGGGAACGCUGACCGAGCAAAGCCGCGGGAGUGAAGAAGGUUUUCGGAUCGUAAAGCUCUGUUGUUAAGGAAGCGGUACUUAACCAGAAAGGGACGGCUAACUACGUGCCAGCCGCCGCGGUAAUUC
RNAcentral lists this ribosomal RNA (407 nucleotides) under uncultured bacterium. RNAcentral describes it as "partial 16S ribosomal RNA". It matches the Rfam family "Bacterial small subunit ribosomal RNA", at positions 28 to 526 of the family's 1533-position model. The record is from RNAcentral.